UACAGAGGUCCCGAGCGUUGUUCGGAUUCACUGGGCGUAAAGGGUGCGUAGGUGGCCUUGCAAGUUUGAUGUGAAAGCCCCGGGCUUAACCCGGGAAUGGCAUUGAAUACUGCGAGGCUGGAGGAUUGGAGGGGGGACUGGAAUUCUCGGUGUAGCAGUGAAAUGCGUAGAUAUCGAGAGGAACACCAGUGGCGAAGGCGAGUCCCUGGACAACACCUGACACUGAGGCACGAAAGCCGGGGGAGCAAACAGG
This 253-nucleotide ribosomal RNA is filed under the name uncultured bacterium. RNAcentral's name for it is "partial 16S ribosomal RNA". It matches the Rfam family "Bacterial small subunit ribosomal RNA", at positions 524 to 776 of the family's 1533-position model. The record is from RNAcentral.